UACGGAGGAUUCAAGCGUUAUCCGGAUUUAUUGGGUUUAAAGGGUGCGUAGGCGGUCGGAUAAGUUAGAGGUGAAAUCCCGAGGCUCAACUUCGGAAUUGCCUCUGAUACUGUUCGGCUAGAGAGUAGUUGCGGUAGGCGGAAUGUAUGGUGUAGCGGUGAAAUGCAUAGAUAUCGCGCAGAACCCCGAUUGCGAAGGCAGCGUGCCGUGCCGCCACUGACGCUGAGGCACGAAAGCGCGGGGAUCGAACAGG
RNAcentral lists this ribosomal RNA (253 nucleotides) under uncultured Rikenellaceae bacterium. RNAcentral describes it as "partial 16S ribosomal RNA". It matches the Rfam family "Bacterial small subunit ribosomal RNA", at positions 524 to 776 of the family's 1533-position model. The record is from RNAcentral. Lineage: Bacteria; Pseudomonadati; Bacteroidota; Bacteroidia; Bacteroidales; Rikenellaceae.